UAAUUUCAAGUUUUUAACUUAUUCUACGGUGGAUUUAAUGAGCUUUUGGGAUCGAUUUUAGAUGGCUUAUCAUAGCCUCGACUGAUUCUGUUGAUUGUGAAGAUCUUACUAGGUUCAUUUCAAUUGUCUAUUGAUGAUAUAUUGGCAGUUGAUACUUUCUAUUGUAAACGAGAAGAAUGAUAUUUUCUUUUAUAAUCUUUCUCACUAUAAGUUAUAAUUAGUUUUUUUAUUGCCAUUUCCAACACAUUUAAAUUUUCUAUUGUAGAUUUUUUUUUUUUUUGCAUUACCCUUAAAAAUUUAAUCAAACACAAAAUUGCAUCAAGCAAUUAGACCUCUUGUUGGUGGAAAUAUAGAUAAGAAAUCCUCUUUUGGGGUGAAGGGUUGAAUAAACUAAUUUAAAAUAAUUUUAUAAAAUUUAUUGGUGGGAGUUCUUGUAUCUUAAAAAAAUAUGCGUUUCUGAAAAAUGAUUGAACAUAAUCGUCAUCGAAUUUUAUUUAUUCAAAAAAAUAAAAAUAAAAAUUUUAAAUUUAUAAUUAAAUAUUAGUUAUCGUUAUCGUUUAUUGUUUUAUUCGAAUGAUCAAAAAUCUUAAAUGAAAAGAAAAAGAGUCGUAAAAAGAUUUUUAUUAGAGUGUUUGACGAGAUUGUUGUCUCGCUCCUACAUAUCUUUGAGUAUAAUGAGGAACUCAAAGCUUCGUAGUUCGAUGUAGUAAACUAUGUUUUGUAGGUUGAUUUAUUUUAUUGAACGAGUGUUUAAAUCACGCUCAAACUGAUAAAUGUUAUUUGUAUGCUAGCGGGAGAGACUUAAGUGUUUUUUUGUAUUCGCGUUAGAACGAGCUAAACAAUGUUCUCUUUAGGAGAAAAAAUUGUUCGCAGAGGGCGAGAAAAUAUGUUUGAUGUGUUUGAGUAUGUUUUAGAUUAUAAGACAAGUAUUUAUGAAUUACAAGUUAUUAAAGCUUAAGUCUAAUACUCGGAACUAUGAUUGGAUAUUACACAAAGUAAUCUUUUUAAUCUACUUUGUUAUGAAAAUAUUUGAAUAUUUACAAGUGUUUUGGAAGAAAAGACAAACACUUGGGCUUGCAAGUUAUUACAGCUUGAACCUAAUAUUCGAGACUAUGACUAGACAUUACAUUCGUAUAGUCUUUUUCUUUCAAUUUAUUUUGAGAAGAAGACACUUUUGAAUUUUUGGCGGAAGACAAGCAUUUGAACUUGCAAGUUAUUACGAUUUUAGGUCUAACACUCAGGACUAAGACUGAACAUUUCACCUAAGUAGCAUUUUCCUUCCAUUAUUGUUUGAAAUAGUCAAAGUAUGAAUUAGUCGUUUUGAUUUUCGUUGAGAAAAGAACUUGAUGUUAGGUCAAGCUUUUUAUUUGCGUUACGAAGCAAAUUGUGAAAAUUGUUGAUGGUUUAGAAUUAAUUUUGAAGAUGGAAAUCAAGUGUUUGAACUUUAUUAGAUUUGAAAAAUGCCUUUGGUAUUAACCAAGAGUUUUGAUUUCGAAAUGUUGAUUUUAUGUAGUUGAGCUGUUUAUUUAAUUCAAUUAUCCUAACUAAGCAAAAAGAAACAAGACAAAAUGAUACAAGAAGUUACAAAUCAAUGGAUACAGAUACACUUUUAUCAUGGGGGCAUAUUGAAGCAACUAUCAAUUAAACAAAAAAAAGAUCAAUGUUUGAUUUAAUUAAUCAAAGUUUGAUCAAACCCACUAUUUAGUUUAAUUAAAGUUAAUUACCAUAAUCCAUUGAUUAAAGAAAAAAAUUCAUUCAAUUAUACAAUUAAGUUAAUUAGAUUUAAUUAAAAAUAUCAACUAACUAGUAUAAACUACAAUUAACUAAUUAAGGGAAAACACGAAAUGCAAGGUAAAGUGUUAAAGAAAAAUAAAAGUAAAGGGUGCUGGCAGCAAAAGCUAGGUGUGGAUAUGCAAGCCAUGAAGGCUUUUGGGCCCAGAUCCAAGGCCGAAUGUCAUUUUCUUUCUUCAAGCCAGUAGUGUGAAAAAAAAGAGGGGUGUGAGAAACAAGAUGAUGGGCUAAAGCCCAAGACCCGAGCCUAAAUCAGUUUGAGUCUUCCCAUGGAGUUGCCAAUCGGCGCUCUCCACCAUAUCUCAGUAAUGUCGACCCAUGGCCUGGGGCGAUGGAAAUAAAAACAAAAAAAAAAAUACUUAGUUCACCGUCUCUCUCAUUCAACUCAUCUUUUCUCAAGGCCUUUUUCUUCCUUACAUUUUUUUUCUCAAAUCAAGUGAAGGAAUAUACGUGUAAUCAUGUGAAGGAAUGAGAAUAUUCCUUUACAUGUGUGGGAAAUUGGUGAGCUAGUUUAGGAUAGGAUAUAUUUCUAUUAUAGGAGAAAACUUACUUCAGAUUUGUAGGGGCCAACAGAUUCAAACAUGGGUAAAUUAGGAAUUAGCUUGAUUGGGACUUUUGUUUGUAGUGAAAUAGGCAUCCUUCUAGAAACUCAAGUGGUCCCUCAAGAUGUAUGAAAUCACCAUAUAAAUGUAAACCGAGUCUUGUGCUUUAUUGCUUAAAAUAUUGUUGCUUGGUAUCUUAGUUUCAAGGCAUUCCAUUUGAUUUUCUGCUUGUAUUAGCUUUGAGUUCUUUGGAUGUUCAAUUUGACACAAUGCUCACGAAUUUGAAUUGCCUAUGAUAACAUGAACCUUACACCUUUUAUCUUGGAAAAACUUUGGUGCUCAUUUGGCUCUUUUAAGGCUUGAUCUUGAAACUUGACAGUUUGAUCUUGAAUUUCGAUAUUCAUGUGGUCUUUUGGUUUCUUGCAGGUUAAGUAUCUUACUUGUGUAUCUUGACACAAGUUUCUUCUAUAAGCCUUGAAUUUUGGUGCUUAUAUAUUUGCUUCCAUGUUUGGCAAAUGACGGGGAAUUGGAUUUGCAAGACAAUGAUGCCAUGGUGAAGAAAAAGAAGAGCAAAUAUGAGUUGGGCUUUUGGAAGCUUUGUACCGUUAAAGCCAAAUAUUGUACUUAUACUUCUAAUUCAAUUUAUUCAUAGGACUUGGCGGACUUGUAUCAAAUGUAAACUUGUGAAUCAAAUGGGUAGUUUGUAGCACUGCACAUGAUUUUGUAUUCAAAGAGGGUAAUAACCUUGUAUCGUGGCAAUUCACAUCAAUUCAAAUUAGAAACCUUUCUCUUAGUUGUCUAUUUUUUUUGUUAUUUUUAUAUUUGUAUUGAAUGAUGAUAAUGUGAGUGUCUAUCAUAUUUUAAAUCACUUUAGAACUUGAAUGCACAAGUGAUGAUGGAUAAUGUAUGAGGUGAAAUGUCUUUGUAUGAAUGAGGUUAUUUAACAAGGAAAUGCAAUGUAAUGUAUUUCUCCUAAGUUCAAACUUUAAUUUUCUCUUAUAUAUGUUUAGAAGUAUGGUGAAUCAAAAUGACAUUUUAUUUGAGUGGUGAUGGUAUGCUAAAUUUAAAAACAAUAUUGAUGACAUGCACUCAACUUUGGUUUUUAUUUGCUUAUGGUAUAAGGAUGGAAUUUUGCAUUAGAAAUAGGCAAUGUAUGAAUUGAAAGUGAAGAUGAUGAAUCCAACUAGGAAGAACUUCUAAUGUAAAAGUGCAAUUAGAGCAUGUAGGUAUGAAGUGAUUUUGAUAUAAUGUAAAUGUGUGAUAUCUUAAAAGUAAUGAAAAACAUAAUUUAUUUUAUUCAAUCCUUAUUUGAUGACAAAAGAUGCUUUUUUUAUUCUAUUUCAAAAUUAUAACUUUACCAAAAUGACAUUUGAUUAUCAAUGAAUGGAAAAUUAACAAACAAAAUUAAAAUGGAAUAAAAGACCAAAAUAUAAUGCAAGUGAUCACAUAUAAAGAAGUCAAAUGUAAAAGUCAAACUUUGACUUUGACUUUCUUAAAAUGCCAACCAAUGAGUGAUAAAGGAUGAAGAUGAAAGCCAUUAGACCAAAAAGGAUAAAAAUGCUUAAUCAAGACCGAAAUGUCAACCUCUGACCUUUGAUUUUAUUUAAAUGUAUGCAGAUGAAUGGUUUUUUUAAACUGAUGAAAAUAUAUGACUAGAUGCAAUGAUCAUAUUGAUGCAGAUGAAAUGAAACUAAAAAGAAAAUGCAAUGCAAUUUUAAAGGUCGAACAAAAUUAGGGUAUGACAGAAGGGAAAACAAAAUAAGAUGAAAUUUUAGAAACUCUUCAAAAUGAUUUCUAACCAAUAUAUUACAAUGAUAAACUGAGUUGCUUGAUCCAAGCAAUUUAAAUACUUGAUAUAUAAAUGCUUUAGUCAUAAUUGAAUUUAAAGACAAUUCAAUAUGUUUGAUGCAACAUGAACUUAUGCUUACACAAUAAACUUCUAUAAGAGAGAUAUGGAAGAAUUACAUAACGAUCUAAUCUAGAUGACAUACAAACGAAGUUAUGAUGCAACAAUUACAUAACGAAUACAAAAAUUAAAGAGAGAUAAGGAAGAAAAAUAGUAAAUAGAAAUAUAUAGUGGUUCAGUGUUAUCGUCCUUGCAGACACCUACUCUAGUAUUCAAUGGUUUUAAAACUAUCAUAAAAUAAUAAGAUCUUCCACUAUUUCAAGAGUUAAGGUAUAAGUAUUUUGAUAUAACAAACUAUCAUCAAUCUGAACACAAAUAGACACAUUGCAUUAGCCUACACACAUAUCAAUUGAUAAUUCAUCUUUAUUUUAAAAUAGUGUACUACCUAAAGUAUCAUGAGGUCUUGAUAGACCUUCCUCUUUUAUUUUAAAGAGAACACCAACAUAUCGUGACAUGUCCUUAUUUGCACAUUAUUGGAUACAAGAUUUAGUUAAAAAAAACAACGAGAUAAAUAUGUCCAUCACAUACAUAUCCACUCAACCUACUAUGAGACUUAUCACUAAGGGUUAGAGAUGUUGAGAUCAUUCUCAAUGAAAAAAUUUGUCAUGAUCACAAUCGUUGAUAUCCAUCAUCAGUGAUCAUUUCUGGACCAGAGACUCACAAACCAUUGUAUACUAAAGAAUGUACUCCUUGCCUUGUACAACUUCAAUUAUUAUGCGAUAAGGCUUUGAGCUACAAAGCGUCCCUGCAAAACAUACUAGAUUUUCACCUUUGGUGCCCAAAUUUUCUUGGGUCCUAGUGCGUUAGAUCUUGCAUAUGGUUUUGGGUUGUUACGUUUAAACAUUUUCAACUUAUUAAAACAAAAGGGCUCUAAGUGGCCAAAUCUCUUGCAGUGUAAGCAUUUGUAAACAUGAUGAUUUAAUUUCUUCUUAUUUGAUCCCUUGCUAGAUGCUUUAUCUGAUUUAAAUCCUAUUCCACUUUUCACUACAACAAAUAACACUUUUCAUGACGAAGCUUUCACAUCGAACAAUAGAAAAAUGAGGUAUAAAGUCAAGGCGCACUAUUUUUUAUUAUUAAAAAAAAACAAAAAAAACUAUAUAUUCCCUCGGAUUUUCAAAACACCGAGGUGAAAAAACAACAUUGUACACGUUUCGAUUCUCAGCUAUCGUAGUUUAUGACUUUAUUUGUUUAUAAGUAUAAACAAAAUGUUUUAACCAUUCAGUUUUAUAUUUAACCGAGACAUAAAAUAAUAAGAUUUUACUAUAAAAGCACUCGUUAAACAGAUUUUACCAUAAUCCUUACUAAUAUGAAGUCGCCCCAAACUCGCAAGCAUCAUUCUUUGGGAUGAAUUGCAAAACGAAAAAUCUUCAAUGUUCUUCUAUCUUGAACAAAACAUUUUUUCUUCCCUUGCAAUCUAUAAGACCCCAAUUUUGACCCUAAGAUCCCUCAUACCAUCUCAUCAUAUGCAUUGACAUUGAGAUCACACCUUGACAUCCUCCUUACCUUUCAUUCAUUAGGUUGGCAUUGGGAGAGAUCACCAAGCACUUUUGAUUUUAUCAUACUUUAUUUUUCAUUAUUUACAAACCAAAAUACCAAAAAUAUGUCAAUGUAUAGUUUAACUCUUUUGUAGGUAGUGUGUAUGCUCACCUAUGCUCUAUCAAGCUCACAUAUAGAGUUUAAGACCCUCAAUGCAAGGAGAACAAUCAAGAAAUGGUUCACAUUGGCUCUAAGCAUCAUAUAUGGUUCCCCAUGAUAUUCACAUGUUAUUUUGAUCAAGGAAUCAUCAAGAGUUUGGAGUUUGUUUGUCUUGGAAACCCUAGUUCAUCGGGGUAUCUUAUGUGACUUCUUCAACAAGCUUCUUCAACAAUUGAUCAAAUUUUUCAAGGGAUACUUCAUAUUACAUAAUCCUAUACAUAUAUGAUCCUCCAUGAGUCCCAAAAGUCAAGAGAAUGUCAAGCUAGCAAGUUGGUUCAUGGUGGUUGACCAGAGAAAGUCAAUUGGUCAAAACUGGGAUUCCUUAGACCCUAUCUCCUACAAUUUUUGUCAUAUGAAAAUGACUCCAAGAGAAACAUUACUCUAAGUGACAUUACAAAAAACUUUCAUGUUAAGGUCAAUAGCUAUUUUUGCUUGGAAAGUCAUUUUUUAUGGUGAAAGAUUAUAGGUCAUUUUUUUUCAAAAUCCUAGUUUUGAGGACAACUUCCCAAGACCAUAACUUGCUCAUUUUUUAUGAUAUUAAAUCCAUUAAAAUUUUAUGAUCAAAUUCCAUAUGUCUACUUCAACUUUUAUGUUUGGAGAAAGUUCAAAUUCAACUUGCAAAUGCAUGUUCCAAGAGGAAACAUUAUAGGUCAUUUUGGGCAAAUACCAUUGAACAAGUGAUUUUCCUCAACUUCUAAAAUGCAUAACUCCUUCAUGCCAAAUCCAAAUAAGGUCAAAUUUGUUACCAAAUUGAAUAGAUUUGAAAUAGAUACAACUUUGGUGAAGGAAUAUUUCUCAUUUUAGGUCCAUAGAAAAAGUUAUUCAAGGUGGAAGAAGUGAACAUAUGGCUUGGUACUUAGAAAAUUUUCAAAUAUGUUUGAUUUCCCAAACUUCCACCUCAAAAUCCAUCAUGAUCCAAGAUUCAAAUGGAAAAGUGUUAAACAUGAAAGUUGUUCCCCUUGAUCUCACCUUUCUAAAAA
RNAcentral lists this long non-coding RNA (6914 nucleotides) under Lathyrus oleraceus (garden pea). RNAcentral describes it as "Pisum sativum (pea) long non-coding RNA (PSAT_LNC008581)". The record is from RNAcentral. Lineage: Eukaryota; Viridiplantae; Streptophyta; Magnoliopsida; Fabales; Fabaceae.